AUUAAUAUUAGGAAUAAAGGAAUUAUUCAGUAUCUUUGUUAGUAGUAAUGAGAAAAAUCAUAUGCUUGUCUCUAAAUAUCUCAAAGAGAAAUAAAAGUUCACAUUCACUUUUUGACCUUUAAACAAUAUUCAUGUAAUAGUAAUAGAUUUAUAUGACUAAACAAGUUAUUAUAAUCCAAAAUUAACUUCAUGAUAAUAUCAAAAUUAAAUAGAACUUAUGAAUAUUAUUACCUUUACUAUAUUUCUUUUUCUGUGUAUAUCCUAUCCAUCUCAAUUAGAUAAGAAACAAGAAAAGUUAGAAAAUAUUUACCAACAUUAUCCUUUCUUUUUCAGAUUAUUCCCUGAGCUAUAAACCCUCUCUGUUUCAUGUCCUCUUCCUCCCCAGUUCUCAACCAAAAUGAGCAGUGUGCAUAUUUUAUUAAGUCUCUUCAU
This 432-nucleotide long non-coding RNA is filed under the name Bos taurus (domestic cattle). Its description in RNAcentral is "long non-coding RNA NONBTAT001298". Lineage: Eukaryota; Metazoa; Chordata; Mammalia; Artiodactyla; Bovidae. The record is from RNAcentral.